Molecule: ribosomal RNA, 535 nt
Filed under: Dawsonius aff. latispina ULLZ 6175
Lineage: Eukaryota; Metazoa; Arthropoda; Malacostraca; Decapoda; Ctenochelidae
Description: partial large subunit ribosomal RNA
Rfam family: Archaeal large subunit ribosomal RNA
Source: RNAcentral
GUCUGUUUGAUUCUAUAUACAGUCUAGCCUGCCCACUGAAUAAUUUAAAGGCCGCGGUAUACUGACCGUGCGAAGGUAGCGUAAUAAUUAGUCUUUUAAUUGAAGACUGGAAUGAAUGGCUGGACAAGAAGCAUACUGUCUCAACUAUAAACAUUGAAUUUAACUUUUAAGUGAAAAGGCUUAAAUAUACUAGGGGGACGAUAAGACCCUAUAAAACUUUAUAUAUAUAUAAAUAAAUUGUCAAUUAUUUAUACAAAUCAAUUUACUUACCUAUUUAUUUCGUUGGGGCGACGAAAGUAUCUUAAAUAACUACUUUAUUUUUAAACAAUUAUUUCUGAUUUUAUUGAUCCUACUUCUAGAUUUCAAGAAAAAGUUACUUUAGGGAUAACAGCGUCAUUUUUUUUAAGAGUUCAUAUCAACAAAAAAGAUUGCGACCUCGAUGUUGAAUUAAAAUCUCCAUGUAAUGCAGCAGUUACAAAGGAAGGUCUGUUCGACCUUUAAAAUUUUACAUGAUUUGAGUUCAAACCGGUGCAAG